This 328-nucleotide ribosomal RNA is filed under the name uncultured eukaryote. Its description in RNAcentral is "partial 18S ribosomal RNA". It matches the Rfam family "Eukaryotic small subunit ribosomal RNA", at positions 1470 to 1796 of the family's 1831-position model. The record is from RNAcentral.
CCCUUAGACGUUCUGGGCCGCACGCGCGCUACACUGACGGAGCCAGCGAGUAUAAACCUUGGCCGAGAGGUCUGGGAAAUCUUGUGAAACUCCGUCGUGCUGGGGAUAGAGCAUUGUAAUUAUUGCUCUUCAACGAGGAAUUCCUAGUAAGCGCAAGUCAUCAGCUUGCGUUGAUUACGUCCCUGCCCUUUGUACACACCGCCCGUCGCUACUACCGAUUGAAUGGCUUAGUGAGGCUUCCGGAUUGGUUUAGAGAAGGGGGCAACUCCAUCUUGGAACCGAGAAGCUAGUCAAACUUGGUCAUUUAGGGGAAGUAAAAGUCGUAACA